AUGCAUGUCUAAGUACAAGCCGAUUUAAGGCGAAACCGCGAAUGGCUCAUUAAAUCAGCUAUGAUUCAUUGGAUCUGUACCCACACUUACUUGGAUAACUGUGGUAAUUCUAGAGCUAAUACAUGCCACGAGUCUCUGACCGCAAGGGAAGAGCGCUUUUAUUAGUUCAAAACCGGUCGGGCCUUCGGGCCCGUCACCCUGGUGUGUUGAAUCUGAAUAACUUUGUGCUGAGCGCACGGUCUCCGCACCGGCGCCGCCUCUUUCAAGUGUCUGCCUUAUCAGCUUUCGAUUGUAGGCUAUACGCCUACAAUGGCUAUAACGGGUAACGGGGAAUCAGGGUUCGAUUCCGGAGAGGGAGCCUGAGAAACGGCUACCACA
RNAcentral lists this ribosomal RNA (378 nucleotides) under Mithracidae sp. USNM IZ 1450120. RNAcentral's name for it is "SSU rRNA". It matches the Rfam family "Eukaryotic small subunit ribosomal RNA", at positions 51 to 414 of the family's 1831-position model. Lineage: Eukaryota; Metazoa; Arthropoda; Malacostraca; Decapoda; Mithracidae. The record is from RNAcentral.